Molecule: long non-coding RNA, 716 nt
Filed under: Sorghum bicolor (sorghum)
Lineage: Eukaryota; Viridiplantae; Streptophyta; Magnoliopsida; Poales; Poaceae
Description: long non-coding RNA (SBIC_LNC015161)
Source: RNAcentral
CGCAUUAAAAACAAUGUGUUAGUGCUAUCCUUUGUUUUAUGAUGACAGUGUUCUUGGCUCCAUAUCUAAAUAAUUCUGGCACCGCUACUAACCCACAGCUACUUGGGGGCGGAAUUAAUAUAAUCUAUAUAAGCCUAGGUCUACGCUUGUUUUUUGGCGGAAAUUGUUAGUACUAGUUACGUAGUAGUCGUUAGAUUUAUGUAGAAGGUCCAAGCUUAAAAAAAAAAGACCAACAUCGUUAAGUCCCCAGACCAUCCCUCUGCUCUGCUCAGCUGAUAUGCUCGCUUGGGCGCUUGAGAUUUGCUCUACGCUAGGUUCGUUCAGAUUAUGUAUUGGAUCAUUACUAUAUUGAAUGUGAGAUAUAUAUUUUUGCUAGGUAUAUAAAUCUGAGUUCAAUCCACCACUGACGACCCGUCUCUUAAUUGGUGGAGUACAUGUAUAACAUGCCUCGAUUACUACCAGGACGAAAGCAGUUGCAGUUUGUACUGUACUCCGUAGGCGGCACCGUGGCAGUUGGCAGAAGAUGGGAAAUGCCGAUGGAUGGAUGGAGCAGUGAUCGAUCGCGUCGAGUGCCUCUACAGUAGAGUAUAGUACUCCUACGUAGCUACUCCAGCAGGCCAUGAGUAGUAGUAGUGCUGCUGAGAAAGGCCCCCACGGAUCAUGGAUAGCACAGCUAGCUACUAGCAGUACAGUACAGUACAGUACAGUACAGACGG